UACGUAGGGUGCGAGCGUUAAUCGGAAUUACUGGGCGUAAAGCGUGCGCAGGCGGUUCGUUAAGUCAGCUGUGAAAGCCCCGGGCUCAACCUGGGAAUGGCGGUUGAAACUGGCGAACUUGAAUCUGGCAGAGGGGGGUGGAAUUCCACGUGUAGCAGUGAAAUGCGUAGAGAUGUGGAGGAACACCGAUGGUGAAGGCAGCCCCCUGGGCUGAGAUUGACGCUCAGGCACGAAAGCGUGGGGAGCAAACAGG
RNAcentral lists this ribosomal RNA (253 nucleotides) under uncultured bacterium. RNAcentral describes it as "partial 16S ribosomal RNA". It matches the Rfam family "Bacterial small subunit ribosomal RNA", at positions 524 to 776 of the family's 1533-position model. The record is from RNAcentral.